This is a long non-coding RNA of Callorhinus ursinus (northern fur seal), 1057 nucleotides long. RefSeq lists it as uncharacterized. Lineage: Eukaryota; Metazoa; Chordata; Mammalia; Carnivora; Otariidae. The record is from RefSeq and is a predicted model, not a curated record.
CCAGCCAGAGCACAGAAUGAGGGGAGACUGAAUCAGAGAGAGGGCCAUUUUUCUCCUCUUGAAGGUGAGGGACCUUGCACUGUCGUCUGAGGAAAGCCUGGACUGCUCUUCCCUCCUCAGAUGACCCCGGGAUGAGGAAGGAAGAGCAAGCUCACAGUAACGCGGCCAUCACUCCCACGUGUGCUCGCGGGGGAACCUGGCGCAAAGGGUUAAAGCCGUAUCGUGGACUUGUAAGCUUCGCUGUUGUGUGGACGUGACCUCACUCUUCCGUUCACCUCUAGGAGACACAGCAUGCUUUUCAAAGGGUUUUUUACCGCAUCGGUUGAGAGGUACCUGUGUACUUUCACAGUUAGAUCCUUAGCAUAAAGACCCCCUCCCCGCCUUGGAAACCCUACAUUUAAUCUCUCCUGUCACUUUCAGGGAUAGAGAAGCAGGGCCCAGCAGAGAAUGACCAGCAUCAGUUUAUUGACGUCUAAGAACUAUUAACCUUUUGCAGAGAAGGGAAAAACCCCUCCGUGUAUCUAGGGCCUCCUGGGUGCUAAUUUGACAUGGCAAUGAGAUAAAAGUUGGGCUCGGGCUGCUAUCAACCUCAGCGGAUCGGAAUGCCGUCUACUUAGCAUAGGAGUCAAACAAUUCCCUGGCAAUAGAUUGCUUUCCACUUGUAGGUCUACUAAAUAAAUAGAAAAGUAAUUAACAGUGCACUAUGGCAGAUGUAUCAGGGGGAAUUUCAUUAGAGCAGAAGAACUGAGCCAUUUCGUAUCCCACCGUCCGAGGAAGCUUCCCUGCCGUCUCUAGGAUGGAUGUGUGAUUUCUGCUUCUCUUCAAAAAAUGGAAAUUUCUAAAUCUCCUAUGAUCUCUUCACAUUGAUCAAUGGGAAAAGAAAAAGAAGCCCGUUAAGUGCCUGAAAUCAGUCCACAAAUAAAGAAUUCCUCUCAUUUUUCUAUUAAAUUAUUUUGUUCCUGAAACCCAUGGAUGGUCAUCUCUCUUUUGUGGGGGUAUCUUUUUUUCUUUUCUUUUCAGUUUGCUCAAUUAUUAAAUAUCUGAAUUUUGAAAUGCU